Colius striatus (speckled mousebird) is the source of this 1981-nucleotide long non-coding RNA. RefSeq lists it as uncharacterized. Lineage: Eukaryota; Metazoa; Chordata; Aves; Coliiformes; Coliidae. The record is from RefSeq and is a predicted model, not a curated record. The transcript is spliced from 8 exons.
GGCCCGCCCGCCGCUCCGCGCUGCCCGCCGCGCCUGCACCUGUCUCAGCGCCCGGGAACGCGGCGGGAGCGCGGUAGCCCCGCUGAUGGGGCUGCGUGUGGCACCUUCCCCCGGGGAGGGGAGAAGGAAGAGGAGGAGGAGAGCCGGCGAGGCAGUGGCCGUUCUCGGAGGUUUUCAUGAUGCUUCUGUUAGUGUGCUGCUGCAGCCGGUGCAGAUCCAAAUGCCGCGGCUACAAAUGCUCGUUACUUUCUCAUGCUGGAUCCUUCAAAUCCAAGAGCUGCUGGCAGUUUCCAAGGCAACCACCUGUGGAAUAAUUAAAAAGGAUGAAGUGUUAGUGUGCCAGAUAGAAGGAAUUCUUGCCUGGAGAGAGCACCUCAUUUUCAUCUGUCUUGAAGAAUGAAAUGUGUGUCUGCCAGCAAAGUUAAGAAGAAGAAAUGAUAAUCAAGUUGUACGAGUGAACCAGGACAAUCUAAAAAGUGACUCAAAGCUGGAGCUAGCAGAUGGCUGCAUCGUUCGCUGGUGGCCACAACCUUACAAGAUGAGUUGUGGAAUUUCCAUCAAAGUGUCGGGAUUAGGCUCAGGAUAUGCCGGUGGCACAGAGCAACCCCGGGAGAGGGUGGAAGAAGAGGAAAUCAUUCAUAGCGACUCAUCUUGUGGUUGGUGGGCAAGUUUUCAGCUGGUGAUUUAUCAACAAAGUAUUUUACAGGAUCGUAGUUAAAAGCUCUCCUUAAAACAAAAACUACACCCUGCGCGAUAGGGAAAGUAAAAGCAUCUCAGUUUCCAAAUGAUGAAGGAAUAACCGAAAGAGCUGGUUCUUGGAAUAGUAGCUCCAUUGGCACUCAUUGGUGAUUUCCUGUGCAUUUGCUGCAAGAAUCACUCUGUGAUUGCGCCUGAAAUGCACACGCAGGAUAUUCUGUGCUUGCAUGGAACGAGGCAGACCGGGGUAUUACGUGAAGUGCUCUUCUCCGUGCCACUCCACCUCCGGGAUGCGAAACGAGGACGUGGGCUGUGUGGGGAGCUGGCAGCAGCGUGCAAGGUGCACAAGGAGCAGUUUCCUGACUGUCUGUUCAAUUAUUCAGAAGAUGCCUGUGAGCGUACGGGUAUGACUGGCAAAGGAGAGCCGGUUCUAGUACCUGCUGCCUGUGGGAUUUAUUUUGUGCCAGGAAGGAGCUGAGGUGCUGACGACUGAAUAACACCUAAACUUUUUUCUUUCUGAUGCUUCUUCUGAUAAUGCAUUGCCACUCCUUUCAUUUUGAGAAUAAGAAAUGAGCCGCUCGCGGAGCAGGAAGAAGCUUCAUAAACACGGCCGCUCUCAUCCUCCCAAUCUUCUGUUACCUGUAGGGGCAGGUGCAGGAAGGUACUGCAGGAGAGGAGGCUCAGUAACCAACUCAAGGCCUGGGAUUACACAAAGGAGCAGUAUAUUUUAGGUACUUUAGAGAAAGUUCAGAACAACCUAGUCAGAAAGGUGUGUUGCUCAGAAAUAUAUCCAUUUCUUUUGGCUUAUUUCACUUCAGUUUUGCCUCAUGGAGUUCUGAGCCCUUCAGCUAACAACACAAGAUUGAAAUAGGCUGUCUGAAGACUGUGCAUAUUAUCCCAUUUGUUCCUUGCUGUUGUAAAGUAGAACUUAUUUCUGGAGAGAAUAUCUUCUAAUACGUUCGUCACCAGACUUUUUCUGUUUGCUUGUUGCUCAAGAGAAAGUGAAGGGAACCACUGGCUUGAUCUCAGUAAAAAGGAAAGCAGAUGAUGCUGUUAGCUGUGGGGACUGUGUAAUGCUGAGGUAGUGUCUGUAGGAAAACAACCAGACAGCCUUAAGAGAAGUUAGAGGGGAGGUUAGUUAGUUAUUUUUAGCAUGCUGAAACCAUUGAAAAUGCUGAAAUGGGGGUAGGGCAAGGAGAGUGGUGAAAAAUAGAUCACCCAUCCCUUGUGAUUCUGUGGUUUUGUCUGAAUCUGGAGGGUUUUUUGUUCUCCUUAUGGUCAGCCA